This 467-nucleotide ribosomal RNA is filed under the name uncultured bacterium. Its description in RNAcentral is "partial 16S ribosomal RNA". It matches the Rfam family "Bacterial small subunit ribosomal RNA", at positions 28 to 507 of the family's 1533-position model. The record is from RNAcentral.
GACGAACGCUGGCGGCGUGCUUAACACAUGCAAGUCGAACGGAAAGGCCUAGCUUGCUGGGUACUCGAGUGGCGAACGGGUGAGUAACACGUGGGUGAUCUGCCCCUGACUUUGGGAUAAGCCUGGGAAACUGGGUCUAAUACCGGAUAUUCAUUUUUCCUCGCAUGGGGAUUUGUGGAAAGCUUUUGCGGUUGGGGAUGGGCCCGCGGCCUAUCAGCUUGUUGGUGGGGUAAUGGCCUACCAAGGCGACGACGGGUAGCCGACCUGAGAGGGUGAUCGGCCACACUGGUACUGAGACACGGCCCAGACUCCUACGGGAGGCAGCAGUGGGGAAUAUUGCACAAUGGGCGCAAGCCUGAUGCAGCGACGCCGCGUGAGGGAUGACGGCCUUCGGGUUGUAAACCUCUUUCAGCUCCGACGAAGCGCAAGUGACGGUAGGAGCAGAAGAAGCACCGGCCAACUACGUG